This is a non-coding RNA of Ornithorhynchus anatinus (platypus), 138 nucleotides long. Lineage: Eukaryota; Metazoa; Chordata; Mammalia; Monotremata; Ornithorhynchidae. The record is from Rfam.
UCCCUCUCAGGGUCACAUCUGGAGAGUUUUCAGUAUGCUACCAGUCGUGACUACAGGAGGAAGAGUCAAGCAGAGGCCUACCCAUUCCAUUCUGAGCUUGGCCAGUGGCUGGUGAGUGAAAGGCAAUCUGCUACAAGU